GCCCGGGUCCUGUGCAGCAGGCGCACCGAACCUCGUCAGGUCCGGAAGGAAGCAGCGAUAAGGUGUUCCCCUGUGUGACACAGUCCGGCCUGGGCUCU
Molecule: signal recognition particle RNA, 98 nt
Filed under: Acidobacteriota bacterium
Lineage: Bacteria; Pseudomonadati; Acidobacteriota
Description: signal recognition particle sRNA small type
Rfam family: Bacterial small signal recognition particle RNA
About the family: The signal recognition particle (SRP) is a universally conserved ribonucleoprotein involved in the co-translational targeting of proteins to membranes. Archaeal SRP consists of a 7S RNA and homologues of the eukaryotic SRP19 and SRP54 proteins. In most bacteria, the SRP consists of a 4.5S RNA and the Ffh protein (a homologue of the eukaryotic SRP54 protein).
Source: RNAcentral